UAUCAAUAAGCGGAGGAAAAGAAACCAACAGGGAUUGCCCCAGUAACGGCGAGUGAAGCGGCAACAGCUCAAAUUUGAAAUCUGGCUCCUAGAGCCCGAGUUGUAAUUUGUAGAGGAUGCUUUUGAUGCGGUGCCUUCCGAGUUCCCUGGAACGGGACGCCAUAGAGGGUGAGAGCCCCGUCUGGUCGGAUGCCAAAUCUCUGUAAAGCUCCUUCGACGAGUCGAGUAGUUUGGGAAUGCUGCUCAAAAUGGGAGGUAUAUGUCUUCUAAAGCUAAAUACCGGCCAGAGACCGAUAGCGCACAAGUAGAGUGAUCGAAAGAUGAAAAGCACUUUGAAAAGAGGGUUAAAUAGUACGUGAAAUUGUUGAAAGGGAAGCGCCUAUGACCAGACUUGGGCCCGGUGAAUCAUCCAGCGUUCUCGCUGGUGCACUUUGCCGGGCACAGGCCAGCAUCAGUUUGUCUUGGGGGAAAAAGGCUUUGGGAACGUGGCUCCUUCGGGAGUGUUAUAGACCAUUGCAUAAUACCCUGAGAUGGACUGAGGUUCGCGCAUCUGCAAGGAUGCUGGCGUAAUGGUCAUCAGCGACCCGUCUUGAAACACGGACCAAGGAGUCGUCUUCGUAUGCGAGUGUUCGGGUGUAAAACCCCUACGCGUAAUGAAAGUGAACGCAGGUGAGAGCUUCGGCGCAUCAUCGACCGAUCCUGAUGUUCUCGGAUGGAUUUGAGUAAGAGCAUACGGGGCCGGACCCGAAAGAAGGUGAACUAUUCCUGUAUAGGGUGAAGCCAGAGGAAACUCUGGUGGAGGCUCGCAGCGGUUCUGACGUGCGAAUCGAUCGUCAAAUAUGGGAAUGGGGGCGAAAGACUAAUCGAACCUUCUAGUAGCUGGUUUCCGCC
This 891-nucleotide ribosomal RNA is filed under the name Ophiocordyceps sp. DT-2021a. RNAcentral's name for it is "partial 28S large subunit ribosomal RNA". It matches the Rfam family "Eukaryotic large subunit ribosomal RNA", at positions 41 to 962 of the family's 3401-position model. The record is from RNAcentral. RNAcentral also lists the same sequence under 1 other name. Lineage: Eukaryota; Fungi; Ascomycota; Sordariomycetes; Hypocreales; Ophiocordycipitaceae.